AGCGAACGCUGGCGGCAGGCCUAACACAUGCAAGUCGAACGAACUCUUCGGAGUUAGUGGCGGACGGGUGAGUAACACGUGGGAACGUGCCUUUUGGUUCGGAAUAACUCAGGGAAACUUGUGCUAAUACCGAAUGUGCCCUUCGGGGGAAAGAUUUAUCGCCAUUAGAGCGGCCCGCGUCUGAUUAGCUAGUUGGUGAGGUAACGGCUCACCAAGGCGACGAUCAGUAGCUGGUCUGAGAGGAUGACCAGCCACACUGGGACUGAGACACGGCCCAGACUGCUACGGGAGGCAGCAGUGGGGAAUCUUGCGCAAUGGGCGAAAGCCUGACGCAGCCAUGGCGCGUGAAUGAUGAAGGUCUUAGGAUAGUAAAAUUCUUUCACCGGGGACGAUAAUGACGGUACCCGGAGAAGAAGCCCCGGCUAACUACGUG
This 433-nucleotide ribosomal RNA is filed under the name uncultured bacterium. RNAcentral describes it as "partial 16S ribosomal RNA". It matches the Rfam family "Bacterial small subunit ribosomal RNA", at positions 29 to 507 of the family's 1533-position model. The record is from RNAcentral.